This 602-nucleotide long non-coding RNA is filed under the name Populus tremula. Its description in RNAcentral is "long non-coding RNA (PTRE_LNC002070)". Lineage: Eukaryota; Viridiplantae; Streptophyta; Magnoliopsida; Malpighiales; Salicaceae. The record is from RNAcentral.
CCCCCGACCUUUAACCAAAGCCAACCAGCUAGCUCCCUCCUUUGAUUGAGUUCCCCAUCUCCCCGUCAUCUGCCUCUUGCAGCCAAAUCAACCUCCUCUACAGCCGGUUUUCACUGCUUACUCAUAACCAAGAGAACCCCUUUCAGCCAUGGGAAUCUACUCCCUUCUCCCCAUUUUUCCAAGACUGUAGCCGCAGCCUUCUCCUUCAAAAAAUCCAGCCGGUUCCUCCUCUGGCCGUUCCUUCCUUCAUCUUCCCUGCUUGAAACCGAACUCAUUCCUUCCUUCAUCUCCCCUGCACGUCGGCCUUCAGAAUCUCCUCCUCAGCCACGGCUGCUUCUCCUUCGGUUUCCUUCCACAACAGCGAUGACCGAACAGAUCCAGCGCCGGGGCAACACUGUCAUCAUCUCCUUCAACCGGUGGAAGACCCACGGACCCCCUCACACUCCUCUCAGUCGGUCGUCGCCGAAGAAGUAGCUCCACAAGACCGGCCUCCACCAAGCCACCGAUCGGUAGCCGAUCUCCUUAGCAUCGUCGUCGUCUCCUUCCCCCAUCACAGCAACGCCGCCGCUCCUCUCAACGCUGCUUUGUCCACAACAGAUCUG